UACGUAGGGUGCAAGCGUUAAUCGGAAUUACUGGGCGUAAAGCGUGCGCAGGCGGUUUUGUAAGUCUGUCGUGAAAUCCCCGGGCUCAACCUGGGAAUUGCGAUGGAGACUGCAAGGCUAGAAUCUGGCAGAGGGGGGUAGAAUUCCACGUGUAGCAGUGAAAUGCGUAGAUAUCUGGAGGAACACCGGUGGCGAAGGCGGCGUUCUGGACUGCAACUGACACUGAUGAACGAAAGCCAGGGGAGCAAACGGG
Molecule: ribosomal RNA, 253 nt
Filed under: uncultured bacterium
Lineage: Bacteria
Description: partial 16S ribosomal RNA
Rfam family: Bacterial small subunit ribosomal RNA
Source: RNAcentral